RNAcentral lists this ribosomal RNA (519 nucleotides) under uncultured bacterium. RNAcentral's name for it is "bacterial SSU rRNA". It matches the Rfam family "Bacterial small subunit ribosomal RNA", at positions 26 to 518 of the family's 1533-position model. The record is from RNAcentral.
AGGACGAACGCUGGCGGCGUGCCUAAUACAUGCAAGUCGAACGGUCUUUCUAUGGAAGCUUGCUUCCACUGAGAAGAUAGUGGCGAACGGGUGAGUAACACGUGGGUAACCUGCCCAUAAGAGGGGGAUAACAUCCGGAAACGGGUGCUAAUACCGCAUAGUUUUCUUGAUCGCAUGAUUGAGAAAGGAAAGACGGCCUUUGUGCUGUCGCUUAUGGAUGGACCCGCGGCGUAUUAGUUAGUUGGUGAGGUAACGGCUCACCAAGACGAUGAUACGUAGCCGACCUGAGAGGGUGAUCGGCCACAUUGGGACUGAGACACGGCCCAAACUCCUACGGGAGGCAGCAGUAGGGAAUCUUCCGCAAUGGACGAAAGUCUGACGGAGCAACGCCGCGUGAGUGAAGAAAGGUUUUCGGAUCGUAAAACUCUGUUGUCAGAGAAGAACAAGUUGGAGAGUAACUGCUCCAGCCUUGACGGUAUCUGACCAGAAAGCCACGGCUAACUACGUGCCAGCAGCGGC